UACGAAGGGGGCUAGCGUUGCUCGGAAUCACUGGGCGUAAAGCGCACGUAGGCGGCUUGUUAAGUCAGGGGUGAAAUCCUGGAGCUCAACUCCAGAACUGCCUUUGAUACUGAAGAUCUUGAGUUCGGGAGAGGUGAGUGGAACUGCGAGUGUAGAGGUGAAAUUCGUAGAUAUUCGCAGGAACACCAGUGGCGAAGGCGACUCGCUGGUCUUUUGCUGACGCUGAGACGCGAAAGCGUGGGGAGCAAACAGG
This 253-nucleotide ribosomal RNA is filed under the name uncultured bacterium. RNAcentral describes it as "partial 16S ribosomal RNA". It matches the Rfam family "Bacterial small subunit ribosomal RNA", at positions 524 to 776 of the family's 1533-position model. The record is from RNAcentral.